This 433-nucleotide ribosomal RNA is filed under the name uncultured bacterium. Its description in RNAcentral is "partial 16S ribosomal RNA". It matches the Rfam family "Bacterial small subunit ribosomal RNA", at positions 29 to 507 of the family's 1533-position model. The record is from RNAcentral.
AACGAACGCUGGCGGCAUGCCUAACACAUGCAAGUCGAACGAAACCUCCUCGUUUAGUGGCUCCCGGGUGCGUAACGCGUGGGAACCUGCCCUUAGGUUCUGAACAACACUCCGAAAGGGCUUCUAAAAACGGUUACUGAUUUCGGACCAAAGAUUCUUCGGCUUUGGAUGGGCCCGCGUUGGAUUAGCGUGUUGGUAGGGUAAAAGCCUACCCAGGCGACUAUCCAUAGCUGGUCUGAGAGGAUGAUCAACCACACUGGGACUGGGACACGGCCCAGACUCGUAGGAGAGGCAGCAGAGGGGGAUAUUGGACAAGGGGCGAGAGGCUGAUCCAGCAAUGCCGCGUGAGUGAUGAAGGCCUUAUGGUUGUAAUGCUCUUUUGCCCGAGAUGAUAAUGACGGUACCGGGAGAAUAAGCGCCGGCUAACUACGUG